RNAcentral lists this ribosomal RNA (1496 nucleotides) under metagenome. Its description in RNAcentral is "bacterial SSU rRNA". It matches the Rfam family "Bacterial small subunit ribosomal RNA". The record is from RNAcentral.
AGAGUUUGAUCCUGGCUCAGGAUGAACGCUAGCUACAGGCUUAACACAUGCAAGUCGAGGGGAAACGACAUCGAAAGCUUGCUUUUGAUGGGCGUCGACCGGCGCACGGGUGAGUAACGCGUAUCCAACCUGCCCACCACUUGGGGAUAACCUUGCGAAAGUAAGACUAAUACCCAAUGAUAUCUCUAGAAGACAUCUGAAAGAGAUUAAAGAUUUAUCGGUGAUGGAUGGGGAUGCGUCUGAUUAGCUUGUUGGCGGGGUAACGGCCCACCAAGGCAACGAUCAGUAGGGGUUCUGAGAGGAAGGUCCCCCACAUUGGAACUGAGACACGGUCCAAACCCCUACGGGAGGCAGCAGUGAGGAAUAUUGGUCAAUGGGCGAGAGCCUGAACCAGCCAAGUAGCGUGCAGGAAGACGGCCCUAUGGGUUGUAAACUGCUUUUAUAAGGGAAUAAAGUGAGUCUCGUGAGACUUUUUGCAUGUACCUUAUGAAUAAGGACCGGCUAAUUCCGUGCCAGCAGCCGCGGUAAUACGGAAGGUCCGGGCGUUAUCCGGAUUUAUUGGGUUUAAAGGGAGCGUAGGCCGGAGAUUAAGCGUGUUGUGAAAUGUAGACGCUCAACGUCUGCACUGCAGCGCGAACUGGUUUCCUUGAGUACGCACAAAGUGGGCGGAAUUCGUGGUGUAGCGGUGAAAUGCUUAGAUAUCACGAAGAACUCCGAUUGCGAAGGCAGCUCACUGGAGCGCAACUGACGCUGAAGCUCGAAAGUGCGGGUAUCGAACAGGAUUAGAUACCCUGGUAGUCCGCACGGUAAACGAUGGAUGCCCGCUGUUGGUCUGAACAGGUCAGCGGCCAAGCGAAAGCAUUAAGCAUCCCACCUGGGGAGUACGACCGCAAGGUUGAAACUCAAAGGAAUUGACGGGGGCCCGCACAAGCAGUGGAUUAUGUGGUUUAAUUCGACGCAACGCGAAGAACCUUACCAGGAUUUGACAUCCAACUAACGAAGUAGAGAUACAUUAGGUACCCUUCGGGGGAAGUUGAGACAGGUGGUGCAUGGUUGUCGUCAGCUCGUGUCGUGAGAUGUUGGGUUAAGUCCCGCAACGAGCGCAACCCCUAUUGUUAGUUGCUACGAAAGAGCACUCUAGCGAGACUGCCGUUGACAAAACGGAGGAAGGCGGGGACGACGUCAAAUCAUCAUGCCCCUUAUGUCCUGGGCUACACACGUAAUACAAUGGCGGUCAACAGAGGGAAGCAAAGCCGCGAGGUGGAGCAAAUCCCUAAAAGCCGUCUCAGUUCGGAUUGCAGGCUGCAACUCGCCUGCAUGAAGCUGGAAUUGCUAGUAAUCGCGGAUCAGCAUGCCGCGGUGAAUACGUUCCCGGGCCUUGUACACACCGCCCGUCACACCAUGAGAGUCGGGAACACCCGAAGUCCGUAGUCUAACCGCAAGGAGGGCGCGGCCGAAGGUGGGUCCGGUAAUUGGGGUGAAGUCGUAACAAGGUA